AUAUCCAGCCAGAAGAGAGAACUCUGUGGAACUUGUGAGCCUAUAGGAAGGUAGUGUGGGCCUCGGAGGAGGGCCUGAAGAUAGAGGAAGUUCCCAUAAAGUCCAUCAAAGUGAGGAUGUCCAUCUUCAGCCAGAUCUGGAGGGCCCUGGACCCCCAACAGCCCGAGAUGAUUCUCUUUGCAGUGGCCCCAGCAGCCCUCUGAGAUGCAACGCAACAUCCCUGGUCAGCAGGGGCAGCCACCAUAUUCCUCAGUGAUCCAGCCCAGGGCCCAUCAGUGCUUGUGGCCAAGACUUGGGCUGCAGAGGCUGGAAUGUGGUGUCUGAACAACCUGCUGUGCACAGAGAAGGAAGAACAUGAAAAUGUGAGCAAUGAAGCCGACAAUAACCCAUCAUUUAAAUCCUGCUUCUCACACUUUGUCUUGGAAACAAAAGUGAUCCAAGGAAUUCAUGCCCAGUCUCCACCCAACAGAACCCUGCUGAGGCAUCGAUGGCCUUGCAGAUCCUCUCCAGCAGAUGCCACGCUGCCCACGGUCUGCCUGUCCACCUCUGGCAAUGUUAUGUUAGAAGUAAAGAGACAUCCACUUUCAUUAAGCCACUGCAUUUCAGGUCUCUUUAUUAUGACAGCAAAUCAUGGCCCCAAAGGAUGCACUGUGAUUGGACAUUCACCUGUGGCUCUAACACAGCGACACCUCUGCUGGUUCUGCCUGCUCAGCACCAUCCUUCCACCAAGGUGUUGUUCCCACCCAGGCCCGAGGUUCUGUGAGGUGAUGGACACACCCUUCCCAGGCACAGGCAGGUGGCCCAGGUCUGAGUGGUCAUGGCUCCCCAUCCUGUUCAGGGUUAUAAGUUCACGGGUUGGACAUGAGACCCAACUGUAGUCCUCCCAUUAGACUCUCAGUAUGGUGAGAGAGAGUAUUUGUAAUUAUUGUGCAUUGUGGCGGGAGAGGGAAACCAACCCCAAGCAGAACCAGAGGCAAUCAGAGAGAGGGGAGGAGGAAGCUCGACAAUGGCGUCUCAGCCCCUGGGUCUAGCUGUACCUGCAGCACCUUUAGAUGUAAGUGAUCCAUGAUUGUGAGCUGAAUUUCUGUCACUUGCAACCAAGAGUCCCAUCUCUUUCCCCAAUAAUAAAAUAAACAUGUUUGGGAGUGAUUUUAUAUAA
Molecule: long non-coding RNA, 1159 nt
Filed under: Felis catus (domestic cat)
Lineage: Eukaryota; Metazoa; Chordata; Mammalia; Carnivora; Felidae
Description: lncRNA (ENSFCAG00000050404.1)
Source: RNAcentral